AUCCUUUUAUGAAUCCUAAGUGUGACGAUUGGGUUUUUAAACUCAUGUGUAAGAAGUGCCUCUCUCAAACCUUGUUACAACAUGGGCACAUUACCAGUCUGAUG
Molecule: small nucleolar RNA, 104 nt
Organism: Lemur catta (Ring-tailed lemur)
Lineage: Eukaryota; Metazoa; Chordata; Mammalia; Primates; Lemuridae
Product: small nucleolar RNA U13
Exons: 1
Source: RefSeq, a predicted model, not a curated record